UUGGUACUCAGAGCCUUCCCAACUGCUCCUCCUCAAGAACUUUCUACCACCAGGGCUUUUCUCACCAUCAGUGGGAUUGGCAAACUCCUUGGGGACAGCGGCUCCAUCAUCCAGCUCGAUGGCUUCUAGGCCCACUCGGACCCCCUCAAUCUGGAUGUCAUGCUCCCCGGAAGCCGCAUCGUCCUCUGACCGAGCACUCUCCCCUGUGCGUCGGAAUUUCACCACCCUGGAGACGGAAGCAGACGUGAUUGGGAUGGCCAGGGUGCUCACCCGAUGGCCUUGCUGUGGGGCCUUCCCACCCGAGGCAGGUAUUGUUUCUGAACGGCUCCUACCCACACCUGGAAGCUCCUCUUCAUCUCUUUGCUGUGGAGAAUCACGAUCCCCGAGCAGCCCUGGGUUGUACACGCAUCUGAAACAGCUGUCACAGCUAGGAAUGUGGCAUACUCGAUGCCCACCUUGUCUCCCAGGCCAGCGCUGUGUGGCAGAACCUGGCAGACCAGUGCCGUUACAGGAAACGUCUACAUGUGUGCCCCACACAGAGGUGGUCCCUAGCUACAGAUAAUGAUGGUGAUGGUGAUGAUAAUGGUGAUGACGAUGAUGAUGAGUGUUUUUGAGACAGCAUGUGGCUCAGGCUGGCCUAGAAGCUAUCCAGACUCAGUCCCUCAAUUGCUGGAAUUACAGGGCAGGCCUGCAUCUCAACCUAGCUUCAAUUAAUUACAUAUAUACAUAUAUAAGUUUCCCUAGUCUCAUAAUUUCUUUCUGUAUAUUUCACACCACGGAUGGUACCCAAGGCCCUGUGCAUGGUAGACAAGUGCUCAUUUCGAGUGUGAAUGAGACAAACCCUGGUUCCCCAGUUUUCAGUCUCUUUUAGCUAUGGAAAAAAAAUUAGUAUGUAAUGUCAUGAUGCCUACAUUCUGGAAAGCUAAAGGCACAUAUGUCCUUUGCCAUGAUCACAUGGUCUGCUGGGGUGUGAAAAUUCAUUCCACUAAAAGCUGACAUCCCAGUA
Molecule: long non-coding RNA, 1006 nt
Organism: Mus musculus (house mouse)
Lineage: Eukaryota; Metazoa; Chordata; Mammalia; Rodentia; Muridae
Product: predicted gene 16108
Exons: 3
Source: RefSeq, marked validated